GCACUGGUGGCUCAGUGGUAGAUGUUUCGCCUACCAUGCGAAAGGCAUGGGUUCGAUUCCCAGCCAGUGCC
Clarias gariepinus (North African catfish) is the source of this 71-nucleotide non-coding RNA. The record is from the annotation of a RefSeq genome assembly. Lineage: Eukaryota; Metazoa; Chordata; Actinopteri; Siluriformes; Clariidae.